GGGAUUUCGCCGUCUUCGUUUCUCUUUCUUCGCGGACGAACACGCGCUGGGCCUGCAACGGCAGGAUCCAGGGUCCUUAACGGGAUGUGCGUUAGGGGCUUGUAGCUCAGUUGGUUAGAGCGCGCGCUUGAUAAGCGUGAGGUCGGAAGUUCAAGUCUUCCCAGGCCCACCACUUUCAUCGAGUGAGCAUUCGUCUUCUGGUUACGGGGCCAUAGCUCAGCUGGGAGAGCGCGUGCUUUGCAAGCAUGAGGUCGUCGGUUCGAUCCCGUCUGGCUCCACCAGAUGGUUUGAUCACCGAGAUCUUGACCGUCGUCCGCGAAACAUCACUUCGCAUCCUGCUAGUCUGGAUAGACAGCAGUUUGCGUGUUUUCUGACAUCGUAAAGAGGAGAUCGAUCCGAGUUGGGUCGUGCAGCAUAUCGUUGCGCGAGCCUUCAUUAUCUCCGGAUCAUUUCGGCGCUCGCUUCCAGCCGUGAGGUUGGAUGCGGGUUGUAAAUGAUCCUUUUAGCGAAGCUUGACCGCCUCGCUAUCGGAACGAUCUUACGAAGCAAGCUGGUCUUUCUAGUCAAUGUCCGGCUGCGGAUAGCGUUCAUCGAGGGCGCGUGCCGCAAGGCAAUUCUGCAGACAACAUUCUGCCGAGUGUGUGGACAUUGAUAAUGAGAGCAAUCAAGUGCCUUAAGGGUGUUCGGUGGAUGCCUUUGGCGCUGAGAGGCGGUGAAGGACGUGCUACGCUGCGAUAAGCCGUGGGGAGCUGCGAAAGAAGCUUUGGUCCGCGGAUUUCC
This 780-nucleotide unclassified non-coding RNA is filed under the name Bradyrhizobium sp. Its description in RNAcentral is "partial may contain 16S ribosomal RNA, 16S-23S ribosomal RNA intergenic spacer, and 23S ribosomal RNA". The stretch from base 96 to 169 matches the Rfam family "tRNA". Lineage: Bacteria; Pseudomonadati; Pseudomonadota; Alphaproteobacteria; Hyphomicrobiales; Nitrobacteraceae. The record is from RNAcentral.